GGUCGUUUGGCCUAGUGGUUAUGGCGUCUGUCUUACAUAAAGAUCUUGAUCGGUCUUAUGUCUGUACACAGAAGGUCCUGGGUUCGACCCCCAGAAUGACCA
Molecule: non-coding RNA, 102 nt
Organism: Xylariomycetidae sp. FL0641
Lineage: Eukaryota; Fungi; Ascomycota; Sordariomycetes
Source: the annotation of a GenBank genome assembly